RNAcentral lists this long non-coding RNA (235 nucleotides) under Elaeis guineensis (African oil palm). RNAcentral's name for it is "long non-coding RNA (EGUI_LNC007852)". Lineage: Eukaryota; Viridiplantae; Streptophyta; Magnoliopsida; Arecales; Arecaceae. The record is from RNAcentral.
CAUGGCAAACAGUUCCCCCUGGAAAACUACAUUUUCAAUUGUUUGGGUUGUAAGAAAACUAAACUUCUGGCAAAUACUUCUGCAGAGUUCCAAAAAACUUUUCUUUUUCCAGAUCGUCAGUCGUUGAUAAUGAAAAGUAAAAAAAUUUCUAGCAGAAUCUUCCACUUGUCCUCAUUGUUUCCAACCCCCUUCCUCCAACUUAUUGCUAUCCACAGUAUCUGGUCCCAUCUCUACC